UAGGGAAUAUUAGUAAUGGGCGAAAGCCUGAACUAGCAACACCGCGUGUGCGAAGAAGGCCUUCGGGUUGUAAAGCACUUUUUGAGAGGAUGAGGAAGGACGGUACUCUCAGAAUAAGUCUCGGCUAACUACGUGCCAGCAGCCGCGGUAACACGUAGGAGGCAAACGUUAUCAGGAUUUACUGGGCGUAAAGCGCGUGUAGGUGGUUUGGUAAGUAGAGCGUGAAAGCUCCUGGCUCAACUGGGAGAGGUCGUUCUAAACUGCCGGACUAGAGGAUGGUAGAGGGAGGUCGAAUUCCGGGUGUAGCGGUGGAAUGCGCAGAUAUCCGGAGGAACACCAGUGGCGAAAGCGGCCUCCUGGACCAUUCCUGACACUCAGACGCGAAAGCUAGGGUAGCAAACG
This 402-nucleotide ribosomal RNA is filed under the name uncultured prokaryote. RNAcentral's name for it is "bacterial SSU rRNA". It matches the Rfam family "Bacterial small subunit ribosomal RNA", at positions 355 to 774 of the family's 1533-position model. The record is from RNAcentral.